Molecule: ribosomal RNA, 497 nt
Filed under: uncultured bacterium
Lineage: Bacteria
Description: partial 16S ribosomal RNA
Rfam family: Bacterial small subunit ribosomal RNA
Source: RNAcentral
GACGAACGCUGGCGGCGUGCCUAAUACAUGCAAGUUGAGCGAUGAAGAUUGGUGCUUGCACCAAUUUGAAGAGCAGCGAACGGGUGAGUAACGCGUGGGGAAUCUGCCUUUGAGCGGGGGACAACAUUUGGAAACGAAUGCUAAUACCGCAUAACAACUUUAAACAUAAGUUUUAAGUUUGAAAGAUGCAAUUGCAUCACUCAAAGAUGAUCCCGCGUUGUAUUAGCUAGUUGGUGAGGUAAAGGCUCACCAAGGCGAUGAUACAUAGCCGACCUGGGAGGGUGAUCGGCCACAUUGGGACUGAGACACGGCCCAAACUCCUACGGGAGGCAGCAGUAGGGAAUCUUCGGCAAUGGACGAAAGUCUGACCGAGCAACGCCGCGUGAGUGAAGAAGGUUUUCGGAUCGUAAAACUCUGUUGGUAGAGAAGAACGUUGGUGAGAGUGGAAAGCUCAUCAAGUGACGGUAACUACCCAGAAAGGGACGGCUAACUACGUG